GAUGAACGCUGGCGGCGUGCCUAAUACAUGCAAGUCGAGCGAACAGACGAGGAGCUUGCUCCUCUGACGUUAGCGGCGGACGGGUGAGUAACACGUGGAUAACCUACCUAUAAGACUGGGAUAACUUCGGGAAACCGGAGCUAAUACCGGAUAAUAUAUUGAACCGCAUGGUUCAAUAGUGAAAGACGGUUUUGCUGUCACUUAUAGAUGGAUCCGCGCCGCAUUAGCUAGUUGGUAAGGUAACGGCUUACCAAGGCAACGAUGCGUAGCCGACCUGAGAGGGUGAUCGGCCACACUGGAACUGAGACACGGUCCAGACUCCUACGGGAGGCAGCAGUAGGGAAUCUUCCGCAAUGGGCGAAAGCUUGACGGAGCAACGCCGCGUGAGUGAUGAAGGUCUUCGGAUCGUAAAACUCUGUUAUUAGGGAAGAACAAAUGUGUAAGUAACUAUGCACGUCUUGACGGAACCUAAUCAGAAAGCCACGGCUAACUACGUG
RNAcentral lists this ribosomal RNA (497 nucleotides) under uncultured bacterium. RNAcentral describes it as "partial 16S ribosomal RNA". It matches the Rfam family "Bacterial small subunit ribosomal RNA", at positions 28 to 507 of the family's 1533-position model. The record is from RNAcentral.